GUUAUGGUUGGGAUACCAAAUGAUAUGUUGGCUGGUCUUAGUUCUUCUACUUCUGCUGCUGAUUUGUGGGUAGCUCAAAAUGUUUCAAGAUAUAUAGUUAAAGGGGGUGUUAAUAUCAAGUAUGUUGCUGUUGGAAAUGAACCUUUUCUUACAAGUUAUUCUGGUCAGUAUCAAUCAUACGUCGUCCCAGCUAUGACGAAUUUGCUACAGUCUUUGGCCAAAGCAAAUCUUGCUAGGAAUGUAAAGCUGGUAGUCCCAUGCAAUGCUGAUGCCUAUGAGUCUUCCCUUCCAUCACAAGGAACCUUCAGACCCGAAUUGACUCCGAUCAUAACACAGAUGGUUUCACUUCUGAACUCCAAUGGUUCACCAUUCGUGGUAAAUAUUUAUCCAUUCCUCAGCCUAUAUGGAAACUCAGACUUCCCUCAAGAUUAUGCUUUUUUUGAAGGGACAACACAUGCUGUGACCGACGGGCCCAAUGUCUACUAUAACGCGUUUGAUGGAAAUUUAGACACUUUAAUAGCU
Molecule: unclassified non-coding RNA, 522 nt
Filed under: Hevea brasiliensis (rubber tree)
Lineage: Eukaryota; Viridiplantae; Streptophyta; Magnoliopsida; Malpighiales; Euphorbiaceae
Source: RNAcentral